AGAGUUUGAUCCUGGUUCAGGAUGAACGCUGGCGGCGUGCUAACACAUGCAAGUCGAACGAGGUCCAACCUUCGGGUGAAGACCGAGUGGCGAACGGGUGAGUAACACGUGGGGAACCUGCCCUUCUCUCUGGGAUAACGUCGAGAAAUCGGUGCUAAUACCGGAUACUCCUUGCGGAUCGCAUGGUCUGCUCGGGAAGGCUCCGGCGGAGAGGGAUGGCCCCGCGGCCCAUUAGCUAGUUGGUGAGGUAAUGGCCCACCAAGGCGACGAUGGGUAGCCGAGCUGAGAGGCUGAUCGGCCACACUGGGACUGAGACACGGCCCAGACUCCUACGGGAGGCAGCAGUGGGGAAUUUUGCACAAUGGGCGAAAGCCUGAUGCAGCAACGCCGCGUGCGGGAUGAAGGCCCUCGGGUUGUAAACCGCUUUCAGCAGGGACGAAUAUGACGGUACCUGCAGAAGAAGCCCCGGCUAACUACGUGCCAGCAGCCGCGGUAAUAC
This 499-nucleotide ribosomal RNA is filed under the name uncultured Actinomycetes bacterium. RNAcentral describes it as "bacterial SSU rRNA". It matches the Rfam family "Bacterial small subunit ribosomal RNA", at positions 8 to 526 of the family's 1533-position model. The record is from RNAcentral. Lineage: Bacteria; Bacillati; Actinomycetota; Actinomycetes.